GAUGAACGCUGGCGGCGUGCCUAAUACAUGCAAGUCGAGCGAAGAGACGAGGAGCUUGCUCCUCUUACGUUAGCGACGGACGGGUGAGUAACACGUGGAUAACCUACCUAUAAGACUGGGAUAACUUCGGGAAACCGGAGCUCAUACCGGAUACUAUAUUGACCCGCAUGGUUCAAUAGUGAAAGACGGUUUUGCUGUCACUUAUAGAUGGAUCCGCGCUGCAUUAGCUAGUUGGUAAGGUAACGGCUUACCAAGGCAACGAUGCGUAGCCGACCUGAGAGGGUGAUCGGCCACACUGGAACUGAGACACGGUCCAGACUCCUACGGGAGGCAGCAGUAGGGAAUCUUCCGCAAUGGGCGAAAGCCUGACGGAGCAACGCCGCGUGAGUGAUGAAGGUCUUCGGAUCGUAAAACUCUGUUAUUAGGGAAGAACAAAUGUGUAAGUAACUAUGCACGUCUUGACGGUACCUAAUCAGAAAGCCACGGCUAACUACGUG
This 497-nucleotide ribosomal RNA is filed under the name uncultured bacterium. Its description in RNAcentral is "partial 16S ribosomal RNA". It matches the Rfam family "Bacterial small subunit ribosomal RNA", at positions 28 to 507 of the family's 1533-position model. The record is from RNAcentral.